GGGUGAGUAACACGUGGGUAACCUGCCCAUCAGAAGGGGAUAACACUUGGAAACAGGUGCUAAUACCGUAUAACACUAUUUUCCGCAUGGAAGAAAGUUGAAAGGCGCUUCUGCGUCAUGAUGGAUGGACCCGCGGUGCAUUAGCUAGUUGGUGAGGUAACGGCUCACCAAGGCAACGAUGCAUAGCCGACCUGAGAGGGUGAUCUGGCCACACUGGGACUGAGACACGGCCCAGACUCCUACGGGAGGCAGCAGUAGGGAAUCUUCGGCAAUGGACGAAAGUCUGACCGAGCAACGCCGCGUGAGUGAAGAAGGUUUUCGGAUCGUAAAACUCUGUUGUUAGAGAAGAACAAGGAUGAGAGU
This 363-nucleotide ribosomal RNA is filed under the name Enterococcus casseliflavus. Its description in RNAcentral is "bacterial SSU rRNA". It matches the Rfam family "Bacterial small subunit ribosomal RNA", at positions 104 to 462 of the family's 1533-position model. Lineage: Bacteria; Bacillati; Bacillota; Bacilli; Lactobacillales; Enterococcaceae. The record is from RNAcentral.